CUCAAAGCUGACAUAUUCUUGGUGAUGGAACUGUAGAUAGAAGCUAUAGGGAGAGAUGGAGGAAAUCAUGAGGGGAAGGAGAAUAGGCAAAAUGCCACAGGUUGCAGCAGGGGGUGCACAAUGUUAGCAGGAUUAAAUUUCCUUAGAUCUUUUGUAGAUCAGGAUUGCUUUCCUUGAUCCUACAGGAUCCUUGAGGGAUCACAGGGCAGAGAAUAGAUGUUAUUUUUUGUUGUCCCCAUCUGUCCCCAGCUAUGCAGAAUGGGGCUCUGCAAUGCUUUUUCAGCUGUUCUCUCCCUUUCAUGUGUGUUGCAGACUGGGGAGAGCUACUAAGAACACAGCUGAGUACAAGUACAAAGAAGUCACAAGAAGAGAAGAAUUGUUAUUUUCCACAUGUGGCUAGAUGUGAUGUAGAAGAUGGGCUGCACCAGCUCUGCUCCUGUGCAGCUCUCGUCAGCCUCACACCAGGCUUAAAAUCGUGUGUAUUCCUGGCAGUUGGUUUCUGAUGUAUCUCCAUUGAGGCUGGAACAGAGAACACCUAGGAAAAUUCAUCUGUAGACCUUUCUAAGAUUUUUUUCCAUCCCUUUCAACCCAAUAAACAGCUGGGGG
This 606-nucleotide long non-coding RNA is filed under the name Anas platyrhynchos platyrhynchos (common mallard). Its description in RNAcentral is "lncRNA (ENSAPLG00000029244.1)". Lineage: Eukaryota; Metazoa; Chordata; Aves; Anseriformes; Anatidae. The record is from RNAcentral.